AAAGAUUUGCCAUGCAUGUCUAAGUAUAAGCAAUUAUACCGCGAAACUGCGAAUGGCUCAUUAAAUCAGUUAUCGUCUAUUUGAUAGUACCUUACUACUUGGAUAACCGUGGUAAUUCUAGAGCUAAUACAUGCUGAAAACCCCGACUUCGGAAGGGAUGUAUUUAUUAGAUUAAAAGCCAAUGCCCUUCGGGGCUCCCUGGUGAUUCAUAAUAACUGCUCGAAUCGCACGGCCUUGCGCCGGCGAUGGUUCAUUCAAAUUUCUGCCCUAUCAACUUUCGACGGCUGGGUCUUGGCCAGCCGUGGUGACAACGGGUAACGGAGGGUUAGGGCUCGACCCCGGAGAAGGAGCCUGAGAAACGGCUACUACAUCCAAGGAAGGCAGCAGGCGCGCAAAUUACCCAAUCCCGACUCGGGGAGGUAGUGACAAUAAAUACUGAUACAGGGCUCUUUUGGGUCUUGUAAUUGGAAUGAGUACAAUUUAAUUCCCUUAACGAGGAACAAUUGGAGGGCAAGUCUGGUGCCAGCAGCCGCGGUAAUUCAGCUCCAAUAGCGUAUAUUAAAGUUGUUGCAGUUAAAAAGCUCGUAGUUAAACCUUGCGGCCUGGCUGGCCGGUCCGCCUCACCGCGUGCACUGGUCCGGCCGGGCCUUUCCCUCUGGGGAGCCGCAUGCCCUUCACUGGGCGUGUCGGGGAACCAGGACUUUUACUUUGAAAAAAUUAGAGUGUUCAAAGCAGGCUUAUGCUCGAAUACAUUAGCAUGGAAUAAUAGAAUAGGACGCGUGGUUCUAUUUUGUUGGUUUCUAGGACCGCCGUAAUGAUUAAUAGGGACAGUCGGGGGCAUCAGUAUUCAGUUGCGAGAGGUGAAAUUCUUGGACCAACUGAAGACUAACUACUGCGAAAGCAUUUGCCAAGGAUGUUUUCAUUAAUCAGGAACGAAAGUUAGGGGAUCGAAGACGAUCAGAUACCGUCGUAGUCUUAACCAUAAACUAUGCCGACUAGGGAUCGGGCGGUGUUAUCUUUUGACCCGCUCGGCACCUUGCACGAAAGUACAAGUUUCUGGGUUCUGGGGGGAGUAUGGUCGCAAGGCUGAAACUUAAAGAAAUUGACGGAAGGGCACCACCAGGGGUGGAGCCUGCGGCUUAAUUUGACUCAACACGGGGAAACUCACCAGGUCCAGACACGAUGAGGAUUGACAGAUUGAGAGCUCUUUCUUGAUUUUGUGGGUGGUGGUGCAUGGCCGUUUUUAGUUGGUGGAGUGAUUUGUCUGCCUAAUCGCGAUAACGAACGAGACCUUAACCUGCUAAAUAGCCCGCGCUGCCCCGGCAGCGCGCCGGCUUCUUAGAGGGACUAUCGGCUCAGCCGA
This 1363-nucleotide ribosomal RNA is filed under the name Dryadomyces quercivorus. RNAcentral's name for it is "SSU rRNA". It matches the Rfam family "Eukaryotic small subunit ribosomal RNA", at positions 39 to 1437 of the family's 1831-position model. The record is from RNAcentral. Lineage: Eukaryota; Fungi; Ascomycota; Sordariomycetes; Ophiostomatales; Ophiostomataceae.